Molecule: ribosomal RNA, 274 nt
Filed under: uncultured bacterium
Lineage: Bacteria
Description: partial 16S ribosomal RNA
Rfam family: Bacterial small subunit ribosomal RNA
Source: RNAcentral
ACACGGGGGGCGCAAGCGUUAUUCGGAAUUAUUGGGCGUAAAGGGCGCGUAGGCGGUCUUGUCGGUCAGAUGUGAAAGCCCAGGGCUCAACCCCGGACGUGCAUUUGAAACAGCAAGACUUGAGUACGGGAGAGGAAAGCGGAAUUCCUGGUGUAGAGGUGAAAUUCGUAGAUAUCAGGAGGAACACCGAUGGCGAAGGCAGCUUUCUGGACCGAUACUGACGCUGAGGCGCGAAGGCGUGGGUAGCGAACAGGAUUAGAUACCCUGGUAGUCC